This 72-nucleotide transfer RNA is filed under the name Camelus bactrianus (Bactrian camel). It matches the Rfam family "tRNA". From Rfam's summary of the family: Transfer RNA (tRNA) molecules are approximately 80 nucleotides in length. Their secondary structure includes four short double-helical elements and three loops (D, anti-codon, and T loops). RNAcentral also lists the same sequence under 2 other names. Lineage: Eukaryota; Metazoa; Chordata; Mammalia; Artiodactyla; Camelidae. The record is from Rfam by way of RNAcentral.
AGGGGUACAGCUCAGUGGUAGAGCACAUGCUUAGCAUGCACGAGGUCCUGGGUUCAAUCCCCAGUACCUCCA